GAUGAACGCUAGCUACAGGCUUAACACAUGCAAGUCGAGGGGUAACGAGAGGAAAGCUUGCUUUCCUUGUCGACGACCGGCGCACGGGUGAGUAACGCGUAUCCAACCUGCCCCCAACUAAGGAAUAACCUUGCGAAAGUAAGACUAAUACCUUAUAAUUUCCUCAGAUGUCAUCUGACGAGGAAUAAAGAUUUAUCGGUUGUGGAUGGGGAUGCGUCUGAUUAGCUUGUUGGCGGGGUAACGGCCCACCAAGGCAACGAUCAGUAGGGGUUCUGAGAGGAAGGUCCCCCACAUUGGAACUGAGACACGGUCCAAACGCCUACGGGAGGCAGCAGUGAGGAAUAUUGGUCAAUGGGCGAAAGCCUGAACCAGCCAAGUAGCGUGCAGGAUGACGGCCCUAUGGGUUGUAAACUGCUUUUAUACAGGAAUAAAGUUAGCCACGUGUGGUUAUUUGUAGGUACUGUAUGAAUAAGGACCGGCUAAUUCCGUGCCAGCCGCCGCAUAA
Molecule: ribosomal RNA, 505 nt
Filed under: uncultured bacterium
Lineage: Bacteria
Description: partial 16S ribosomal RNA
Rfam family: Bacterial small subunit ribosomal RNA
Source: RNAcentral